UCGAGUAACAGUUGGUUGUUUCCAUCUUCUCUUGUACUCCCACCUCUACACUUGUGGUACCCAACUCGGGAUGAGUCAGGCGAGAUGAACGGGUUAAGGUGGUGAGUUUUGGGCGACACGAAACGAGUCAACUCAAUAAACUUGUUUUUUACCAGGUCAAAUAACUCAAUAUGGCGAUAACUCGAGGUGGGUCUCCGAGUCGCCACUGCUAUGAAUUUAUUAUUACCUGGUGAAGUGGCUGGAGUGAACGCGUGGAGUCCAGGUGGUGUGACUCGUUGAAUCGACACUGACUCAGUCGAAACCAGUCCAGUUUGGGGCAGAAUCACUUUGUACACACUGAUCCAGUCAUCUUCUUCGCUUUUUCUGUGGAAAAACAGUGUUGACUCGUCGACCCAACACGGCCAUCCGCCGUUUUCAACUAUCUUGACCCGCUGAGUCCCAUCCCGAGUCAGGAAAAUAUAAAUAUCAGUACUCAGCAUCUCCACUUCGCCAUCCCAGCCUUUAUUUCCAUAUGAAGCCACAGCCGUGUACUUCCCAGAAGGAGAAACCGCAGGGCUGAAAUCGGCAACUCCAUAUGGGGUCAGCCUCCGAGUCAAACCGGUCUUUAACUCGGUCGAGUAAACAGCAGCCCAACUCGUCCUUGGCGUACCCGGGUUCUCAUGAGUUGACACGUAGAUUAAAUACUCACCGCUCAGAAUCGGCUUGUCCUUCAUCGAAAUUACACCACCGUUAACCUCGUUUAAAUCCAGCAGAGGUACCUGCACACGGGUGGAAACUUCAGCUCCGUGCUGCUCGAGGGCAGUUCUCGAUCUGGUGUUUCGCCGAGUAUCGUAAUAAACAGCAUCGUAGUAUAUGUUGGAUGUUCCGUUUCGUUCGGUGACGUAGAUGAGCUGCAGAGGAGGUGGGUCCCGUGAGUCCUGAGGUCCCGGAGAUUGAAUGAGGGUUUGAUUGCGCAGAAGAAAGGAGAGGAAGGAGGAAGACGGUGAGGGGAAGUGACCGUUGAAAUUCACUGAUUCACCAUCAGUGAUUUUAAUCUCGUUUGCGGUCGUCGGCCGGUCCGAAAUUGGGAGGGUAUAAAUGUCGAAGGCAUAAUCCGAUCGGCCAAGUGUUGUGAAGAUGAUGCUGCUUCUGCUAGAAGAAUCUUCGUCCGCCGUAGCACGGAAGACGGCUGAAAGCAAAUAAAGAAGCGAACAGAAAAUAGUUUGGAGUUUCAUCGUUUGGUUUCUUUAGUUCAGUGACUGGAGCUUGUGGCUUUGUGUCUCUGAGAGAAAUUUGUUGGUUCUAUUUUUUAUGGGGGCGAUUUGUUUAAAUUUUGUGUUGUAAGAGAUGACGUCGUCGGAUGAUUUUUUGGGUCAUUGCUUAAUAAAAUUUUAUUGGGCCACACGUGGCGACACUGAAAUAAGUUCGAGAGUGUUUCGAGAUAUGCCUGUCUAUUUUUAUCCAAAUCCCACAUUGCGUUAACUAGAGGGAGGCUUGUUUUCGUCCUUUUACUUUUAAUUUUUAAUUGGCCUCGGGCUCAAUUAGAUACAGGACUACAAUUUGGUUGGCUAGAGCAUGAAGGAGCAUCCACUGAGAAAAUUAAUAUAUUAAUUGAUGAUGAUAAGAAAAAUAUGUCAUAAUUUGACAUAGGUGUUAUUUGAGAUUUGACGGUAACAUAGCCAAUUUUGGUUUAAUAUUCGAGUAACGAAAAAGUCAUGAUCCUGUCCUUCUAGCCUUAAACUUAGCCAUCAUCUACCGCCCAUCACUUGAGUAAAAUAUCCUCAAGCAACCAUCACGGAUUCAUAAUGAUAUUGUUUGGUUAUUAACCAGAAUGAGCGAGUAACUGUGUAAAAGCUUAAAUGUUAUUGAUUCAUUUGUGCAAGUUUAUACACAUCUAGAGAGAGCAAAUAAAAAGAAAUAAGUAAGGUGAUCCGAAAUUAAAGGAAUUUGAUAAUAGAAAAUAGUAAGCCUUGAUAGAGAGUUGAUUGAUGCUAUGAUGAAGAUGAUUGCUCCCAAUCAAUGAUUUUAGUAGAAGUGGAUGAGAUUCUUUCCUAAUAUGCCCUCUUAAGAUGGAGGUUUCCAUUGGAGAUGCCAAUCUUGGACCGCAGCAUAGAGGCGUUGCUUUCUUUGAUAGUGGUUUUAUGAGUUCAAACAAGUUGAUCAUAAAGUAGAUGCAUGGGAAAUUCGAAAAGCACCACUUGCUAUUUUUUAUCUCAAACAAAGUGGUAGUUAAUAAGAGCUGGGUGCUUCGUGUGUGAGUGAAAGACUGGGUUGGCACAAAGAUAAGUGACACCAAGGUUGUCGCACUUCACUAUAGGGGUUGAGGUAAGAGAUGCAAAAUUCAAACAUCGAGUUUAAAAUCCACAAUGGCAAAGGCAAUGGCAUGAUACUUAGCUUCAUAGACAAACGGACAAAUGGAGCAUUUCUUCUUGGAACACCAAGAGAUAGGAUUUGAGCCAAGCAGCAUGACAAAAGCCAGGAUUGAGGUAAGGUCGUCUCUAUUCCCAGCCCAGUCAGCAUAUGAGAAAACUGUAAGAUAAAAAGACUGACGAUAUUUCGGAAAGAUUUUAAUUAACUUUUCUCUUAAUUAAUAAUUUAAUAUUAAUAAAUUAAACUAAUAUCUAUGGGCUUGAUUUUAAUUUGCAAGCCCAUCUCUUUCAAUUUGAAUUUAAAAAUCUAGAGUUCCAUAAUUUAAGUAUAACUAUGUAUUGCGGACUUGACUAUAAAUUAGUGAGGGUUUGAGAAAAAUUUAUUACAAAUUUUAAACAAACUAAAUUAAUUAUUAAUUAUUGUUUUUUUACUAGUGGUGACUUAAGGGUGCGUUUGGCACACUGUAUUGUAUUAUGGUGUAUUAUAUUAUUUUUAUGCUGGUGUAUUGUAUUAUGAUGUAUUGCAUUAGCACUGUAUUAUAACAAUGUUUUAUAAUGUUUGGUGCUGCACUGUACUGUAUUAAUUUUUUGUGAUUAAUUUAUAUUAUAUAUUUAUAAAAUAAUAUUUAUUAGUACUUAAAAAAACUAAAUAUAGAGAUCUUAAAUUUUAGAAAUUUAAUUACAAAAUGAAUUGUGCUAAUAUUUUAUAUUAUUAUUUAUGUUAUUAUUAAUUUUAGAUUAAUAUUAUUGUUAGGCAAAUAAGCUUCAACAAAGAUGAACAAAAUACAACAAACAGAAGUGAACCAAAGAUAAUUAAAGCAACAUCCAGCAUAUAUUAGAAGAGCUGCAAAAGGGUGUUCUGGAGCAAGUGAGAAACAAUUUAAGGAUAGCCAUUAAAUCCUUGAACGAGAGAGAUUCGCAUAACAGAAGCAGAAAAAGUUUGUUGUCAAGCAAGAAGGCAUCGGCAAAUAUGAGAAAAUGCAAUAUCUAGCCAUACAGAUAUGACCAAAAGCAGAAUAAGUCAAGAAUCAAAACAGUAGUAAAACAAAAUACUGAGGCAAAAUCAUGACAGCAAAGUCAACAAUGGAAGCCAUACACAUGUUAAAAAAGUUACCCAUUGUGACACUGCAUAAGGACAUAACAUAAAAAGAUAAGUUUGAUUUCUCAUCAAUAUAAUUUCAAAUUCCUUUAUAUCAGGUCUUUGUUUCUUUCUAAUCAUUAACUUAAUUUUUUUUUUGGUUCUUUUCUAAAUUUAAUGGCUCUAGAAUAGCUCUAUUCUUUAAUUCUGUUUUGCCUCAAUACUUCCUUUCAAGAACUAAAGUAAAUUCAUAAGAUUUCAUCUUAAUGAUUUUCAAGUUCCUUUUUCAAUAUUAAUUUCUCUACCAUUACAUGAUGUUUAUUACUAUUAAUUUGCAAAUCCAGAAUCGAAAGUACUAGUUGUCAAGAAUAAUUGCAAAUUUUACAAGCCACCUGUUUCAUUCCAAAAAUAACCAUUCACAGACAAUAACGCUUCAUCUUGUGCUUUGGUAUUGCAUUAAUGAAGUACAAUCCAGCGAGAUUUUAUUUAUUUAUUUAUUUGGUUUACAUAUGAAGGCUGAAGCUACAUUUGCCAAAAAUCCACCCACAAAAAUACUUUAGCCAAACAAUUAGGAUAAUUUUUUCUUAAUGUAAAGUCAACUACGGAUUGGAAAUACUUCUACAUGUGGUAAUAAUUUCUAGGCCACAAUUAGUGAAGCAAAGCACCAAAUUCUUUUUCUUUUAGACAAUUCAUCAAACAAUUGUCGGGCAUAGAUCUAUAAACUCAUCCAUUCACAACAUAAAGUAACAAAAUCUCAAUCAAAGCCUCACAAUAACAUAAUCAAACAAAAUACCAAUUUAAUUUAAAGGCAACAAGAAGACUCCAUUCUAUUUUCUUAACUGAAGAUAUAUUAGAAACUAAGUAAAUCACAAAAACAACAAAUGAUCCUUUUUCUUUAAAAGAAUAAUAAUCAAACCAAGCACACAAAAAAAGCACGCAUGAUCUAACAUACUAACACAAAGAUAAGACCCUCACAGUUUCAAAAAUGACGAAGGCACGACGGCAUGAUGAAGGCAGAGGAGCAUGGUGGUGGAGUGUCGCGAAGGCAUGCCGCGCAGUAGUCUCGUACGUCGCGGAGGUAGAUAGCGAAGACAGUGGAGCUGGUGGUGUCACGGUGGAUGUGUGGAGAUGCAGGCGAGCCACUACACAGAGAAGGAGAACGAAAAUGAAAGCGAAAUUUUUUUGGUCUCAAAAUAAUUACAAACCCGUGUAAACCCGACUCUCAUGCGGGUUUAUUUUAUGCGGGUUUGACCGCAUUACAAGCUUCUUUUGACCACAUUAAAAUACAGUGAGGAGUCGUCACCAAACAUGAUAUUCGAAAACUUUAAUGCUAUGAGGAGUCCUAAUACUAUGUACUGAGGGCUGCCAAACACACCCUAAAUAAUUAAGUCCCCACUGUCCUAUAGUAAAUCCAAAUCCGCCCCCUUAUGAAGAUGGUUGCUCUUAAUCAAUGAUUUGAUAGAGGUGGAUGAGAUUCUUUCAUAAUAAUUUUCAUUGGUCACCUUUACCUCAGCUACAACAUUAUUAUUAUGAUCCCCUGAUUGUUGAUCAAUUGAUCAUCGUUCAGCUUAUCCUGUACCAUCCGGUCGAUCACAAUUUCUCUGUGAUUAGUGAAAAUUUGUUACUAUAUAAGCACUUCUCUGGGCUACGGGCAAUUUCCGGUGAUUCCAAAUCGUCGCCUUGAAACCCAUCGGUUUCUGCACCACGUGCCUCCACCUCACACUCUCUGUCCAAAUUCAUUGCACGUGUGACUAUGCGAUACAUUUGGACCGUGCCGUACUCAUAACUGGGUUCUUGAUUAUACUUGGAUACCCAUGCAAUCUAUCUACAUAAAGUAGUGGCCAUACAUUCAACAUUGGACUUGAUCCAUCUGAAAUUUUUGUCACGCCGUCAUACCAAUUUCAGCCUCCUUUGAACAUUUUAUUUUUUUUUUAACUUGUAUCACCGAUCCGCUUUCAAUUUUUGGGAAACGAUUGUAGAAAUGAAUGAAUUAAAUGGUAACAUCAUUGAAUUUGGAACUGCUGACCUCGCAAUUAACUAUGGAAUAAUGCUAAUAAUAACAACAACAAAGUACACUUGGUUUUAUUGCACUUAAAAUCUUCUUACCUUUCAGAACUAUGAAGAAUUAGAAACCAUAAUUUAGCAUUCAGUGAGCAGAACAAGUGAGAAAAAUUAAAAAUUUCAUUAAUAAUACAUCUCUCGCGUACAAUAUGAGCAUGAUUUUUAUUCAUAUUCUGUAACUGGUUAUAUGGCUGAUUAAUAAGUACACAUCCAGAUAAACACACCGCUCCGCGCCGCCCCCCUUCCCCCACAAGUCACUAAUGACUUAAUAACCAUUUUCUUUACUACACGUGUAUGUGGAGGGGUUUGAAUUUCCAUAUGCAACGACAGUCUACUCACGUAAUUAUGGAGAUGGUAAUUAAUAAUUUUAUCAGCUUAUUAAUGGAGAUGGGUAAUUAAUAAUUUUAUCAGCUGAUUGCCUCUACAGCAUUUUCUUUUUAACAUUUGACAGCCAGCGGCAACUUCAAGUGGAUGGGUCGUUUGCUGUGACACUAAAAACAGACACUGAAUAUGGAAACUUAGUGGCCAAGACAAAGACUCGGUCAAUGAAAAAUAUAUAGCCAUCUGCUUCACUUGUCCCUCGUCCUCUCACUUUCUCAAAAGCAGAAACAACAACACCAAGUUUUCCUAAUUGCUGAUCAUUUCGCUAGUCUGCUUCUUGCGAUGAGUUUCUUGAGACCGUCUGCAUUGCAUCAGUUUCUGAUCACAUGCCUUUCAGUUAGAUGGAUGCCAUGCGAGAGCUGGGGCUUUCUCCGAUGGCCGGGUCUCGAUGGCUCCUUGAAAAUACUAAUUGGGUUGCUUUUGUGGUCAACGUUUUCUGAGAUUCGCUUCAUACCCUCUUCUUCAAUGUACCCAACUCUUCGUAUUGGCGAUCGAAUCAUUGUCGAAAAGGUCAGCAUUCCUCUGAAUCAUUUUGUUCUUUAAUUCUGUUAUUUAAUUCCUUUAGGUGGAGUGAUUUUCUGACUGUUGUCUUUAGAACGCUAGUAAUUGACUUCAUUUCUGUUUCGGUUGGCGUUUAGUUCGACAAUUUUGCUUCAAAUACUGCCUAAUUGGCAUUAGUGUGUCCACUAUUUUCUUGCAAACUUGUUAUCCGAUUCUUGAUAACUUAUAGUUUGUAUGACUUCCCGAUCUUUUUGGGAGAAGAAAAUGUAUUGUCAUCCUUAUGAUUGUCGUGGUCCAGGAAUAUUUGUCAUUUGGUUUAUUCAUUUUUUAUCUUCUUGAACAUGUUCACAUAUAAUAAGGAUGCUGCAUUUUCACUUUUUUUUUUUUUUUCUUUUCCGCUUAUAGGGUUGAGACAUCUCUAUAGUUGUUCUUAUAUAAACUUGCUUAAGCUUCUUCUAAAGAAUGUGAAAUUCAGAAAGGCGUGCUGCGAAUUUUAAUUUUUGACUCGCAGCUAAAUCUACUCUUCUACACAGUUUAUGGGUUGUUCAUUCUUUGCGUAGUAGGAGCUUGUUUUGGUUGGCCUUAAUAGCUAUUAGCUAGUGAGUGAGGUUUCAAUUCUAGUACUCUUGAUUAGAAUGAUUCAACUUAGAGAUGUUGUACUCGGGUAGAUUUCCUGUAUAGUGCUGCUUCUUGCAAGUACCCAAAGCUUCCUAGUGGAUGGACUUGAUAAAUAAGCAUUGUUACUCGUUGCUCUCAUACAUCCUAAGCAGAGGCGCAUGUCUGAUUUGAUUUUCUUUCAUAAGAGAAAAUUCCAAUCUAAUAUAGCCAAUUCACCUUUUGAAUCUUGGAAGUUUCCCUAUCUACAAGGGGAAGCAAUAUCUCUUGGUUCAUGAGCUGUUGCUAGCAGUUCAGUUCUGCUGAUAAAACGAGUCUUCCUAUGGACAGCCUUUUUUAUUUUAUUUCAUCAUAUCCCCACAGAAUACAAAAUAUAUAUAUUUCACUUUUCCAUCUCUCUGAGUAGUGAGUUUGCUUUAGAUGUCGUAAAAUUUAAUUCUUGGCACAGUUGUUGCAAGACAUGGCAAAAACAGCAGUCACACUCAACCUAGCGGUUAAUCUGGGACCAACUUUAGACUAGCAAAGCAAGAGCAUUUUGUGUAAGCUCCUUAUAAUUUAGAGAGUGUGUAUGGUCGUUCUAUCAUUAAGUGACUGGCCAGGAAGUAGUGGUUUCCCUUGAAGAGAAUAUAGAAAGUGGUUAUGAUCUUCGCAUUUACAUUCCUGGUUAGCGGUUUUUGACAAUUAAUUAUCUGAUCCAUUGGAUGUGUUUUCAAGUUUUGAUGAGUAUCGUGAUUGUAUUUUUAUGUCAAAAUUCGACUGCAUCUGUAGCUUGAGUUCUUUCUUUUGUUUGGUGUCAUAUCUAUUGAAACCUGUCCUGAAUGCUACGAGCUUUUGUCACACAGCAUUAUAGUUUUUGUAAGAAUAAGGGUUGCCAUGGAUUUCUUUUGAGGAAACCAUUUGUGAUUGUUUUGAGUAUUCAUGUCAAGUGUGCAUGUCAGUAACUAAAAACAACUCUGAAGGGCCAACAACAUUUGAUUAUCACUUGCUUCUGUUCUUCUGCAAAAUGCUGAAAAGAUGAUCUGGUUUUAUAGAUGUUCAACUUCAGAGUCGAUGGAUUUUAUUUUAUUUUAGUGUUUUUUUUUUAAACAACACGAUCGUUUUCAAUCUAAGAUUCUGUCUAGAUUUACUGUCAUUGUUUCUUUUUCUGUUGGUAAAAUCUUCCUUUCUAGUUUUGAUUAACACAAUGUUUAUAACUUCUUCAGGCCUCCUAUUACUUCAGAAAUCCUUCUAUACAUGAUAUCGUAACAUUUCGAGCUCCAUUUCAGGUUUGCUGAUGCAGUAUAGAAUUUUCCUAAAUGUUCAUACUUAAUGGUUAGUCCUUUUACUAAAGUACUAUUAUCUUAUUUUUCUUUUUAUAGUACCCUGGGUUAGGGGAGGAAGACGUUUUCAUUAAAAGAAUCGUUGCAAAAGCUGGAGACUUGGUUCAGGUUACAACUAUUUCUUUCACCCCUUCAUUAACUGAUAUGGGAAUAAAAUUUUGAAUUUCAGACAUUCAAUUAAGUUGAUUCCUGUUUGAUCAAAUUGAGUUGUUUUACUAUCACUUAAACUUCAUUAUUAUUUCCUGGCUAUGCACUUCAAAUUUGAAAACAAACAAAGCGUGUUCCAAUUACUAUAGUUAACUUCAUUAUUAUUUCCCGGCUACACACUUCAAUUUGAAAACAAAUAAAGCCUGUUCCAAUUACUAUAGUUUUCUGCCCCAUCAGGUAGCUACAUUCAUGCUGAGGCUUUUCAUUACAGGUUCGUGAUGGAUCGCUCUAUGUCAAUGGAAUUGCUCAGAAUGAAGAUUUCAUAGCAGAGCAUCCAAAAUACACAUCUGACUUAACUGUAUGUUACCCAAUCUGUUAUGUUCUUGUGUUUCUAUUUCACUGUGCUACUUUUCAGCACUUGGCUAUGCCAGCAGACCUUCUCUUGAGCUGCUUAAAGUAACUGGAAAAUGGCAAUAACUUGAGCCUUCUCACUGCAUGAGGUGAAAAAACAAAAAUAGCAUGAAGUAGCCCAGUGGACUCCAUGCUGUUGACAUCUGU
RNAcentral lists this long non-coding RNA (9008 nucleotides) under Citrus sinensis (sweet orange). RNAcentral describes it as "long non-coding RNA (CSIN_LNC001464)". The record is from RNAcentral. Lineage: Eukaryota; Viridiplantae; Streptophyta; Magnoliopsida; Sapindales; Rutaceae.